UGCAGAAGCUAAAUUUCUGAGUGUGAUAAGUUGCAGGGCUGAAAGGAAUGGUAAUUAGUAUUUCUCUCCUUCUUCUUCACUCUCUCUUUAAACAAAAUCCACACCAACCUCCUCAUAAUCCUUCUCAAGAUUAUGGAAUCUCAUAAAGGAUUUCUUAGGCCAUGCCCUCCCAGUCCUCAGAAAACUCUCCUUCCUCCGCAUCCUCACCCACAUACCAGUGAAUAAAAGCAUGCUGAACAUACAUCAAGUCAAACUUGUGGUCCAGGCAAGCCUAGGCUGCAGGAAUGGCGAUGGUGUUGCUCAGCAUGCACACAGUUUGCUGUACUGUGGCUAGGUCUCCACCAGGUACCAGUGGGAGGCUGGUAAUUAAUGCCAACUUUGAAGCCAAUGGGGCACCAGUCCACAAACUGGACGUUGUGCUUGGUCUUCAUGGUGGCAAUGGAAACAUCAACAUCUUUGAGAACCACAUCGUCAUGGUACAACAGGCAGAAAGCCACAUAUUUACCAUGAUGGGGGUCACAUUUCACCAUCUGGUUGGUUGGUUAAAACCAUGCAUUAGUGAUCUCUGCUGCAGAAAGAUGUUCAUGGUAGGUUUUCACAGCAGAGAUGACAAGAGCACAUGUGGCCAGGGGGAAGUGGAUGCA
This 644-nucleotide long non-coding RNA is filed under the name Lynx pardinus (Iberian lynx). Lineage: Eukaryota; Metazoa; Chordata; Mammalia; Carnivora; Felidae. The record is from RNAcentral.